GAUGAACGCUGGCGGCGUGCCUAAUACAUGCAAGUAGAACGCUGAAGGAGGAGCUUGCUCUUCUGGAUGAGUUGCGAACGGGUGAGUAACGCGUAGGUAACCUGCCUGGUAGCGGGGGAUAACUAUUGGAAACGAUAGCUAAUACCGCAUGACAACAGUUAUUGCAUGAUAACUGUUUAAAAGGGGCAACUGCUCCACUACCAGAUGGACCUGCGUUGUAUUAGCUAGUUGGUGAGGUAACGGCUCACCAAGGCGACGAUACAUAGCCGACCUGAGAGGGUGAUCGGCCACACUGGGACUGAGACACGGCCCAGACUCCUACGGGAGGCAGCAGUAGGGAAUCUUCGGCAAUGGACGGAAGUCUGACCGAGCAACGCCGCGGGAGUGAAGAAGGUUUUCGGAUCGUAAAGCUCUGUUGUAAGAGAAGAACGAGUGUGAGAGUGGAAAGUUCACACUGUGACGGUAGCUGACCAGAAAGGGACGGCUAACUACGUG
This 495-nucleotide ribosomal RNA is filed under the name uncultured bacterium. Its description in RNAcentral is "partial 16S ribosomal RNA". It matches the Rfam family "Bacterial small subunit ribosomal RNA", at positions 28 to 507 of the family's 1533-position model. The record is from RNAcentral.